Long non-coding RNA from Solea senegalensis (Senegalese sole), 289 nucleotides. RefSeq lists it as uncharacterized. NCBI's taxonomy places the organism in Eukaryota, Metazoa, Chordata, Actinopteri, Pleuronectiformes, Soleidae. The record is from RefSeq and is a predicted model, not a curated record. The transcript is spliced from 2 exons.
GGACAUGGACAUGGACAUGGACCUCAUGGACAUGGACAUGGACAUAGUCAUGGCCAUUGUGACAAGCAAGUCGGGACGUGUCAUGGGUCGUCCAGCAGCUCCUGCAGCAGCAGCAGCAGCGACUCUGACUAGUUUCCACCUGGACACCUUCAUAUGCCCACUGCUGACCAUUUACUUAUUCAAAAAACAAUCAAACUUACAUUCUAAACUGUUUGUGUUUUACACUCAGGAUAUUAUAUACAGUGCAAAAUGCUGAAAACAUGUUUAUCAUAAAAGCAAUUCAUCUCCA